AGAUUGAACGCUGGCGGCAUGCCUUACACAUGCAAGUCGAACGGCAGCACGGGGGCAACCCUGGUGGCGAGUGGCGAACGGGUGAGUAAUGCAUCGGAACGUGCCCAGUAGUGGGGGAUAACUAGUUGAAAGAUUAGCUAAUACCGCAUACGACCUAUGGGUGAAAGCGGGGGAUUCGCAAGAACCUCGCGCUAUCGGAGCGGCCGAUGUCUGAUUAGCUAGUUGGACGGGGUAAAGCCCACCAAGGCUUCGAUCAGUAGCUGGUCUGAGAGGACGACCAGCCACACUGGACUGAGACACGGCCAGACUCC
RNAcentral lists this ribosomal RNA (311 nucleotides) under uncultured soil bacterium. Its description in RNAcentral is "bacterial SSU rRNA". It matches the Rfam family "Bacterial small subunit ribosomal RNA", at positions 26 to 339 of the family's 1533-position model. The record is from RNAcentral.